Molecule: ribosomal RNA, 258 nt
Filed under: uncultured bacterium
Lineage: Bacteria
Description: partial 16S ribosomal RNA
Rfam family: Bacterial small subunit ribosomal RNA
Source: RNAcentral
UACGUAGGGUGCGAGCGUUGUCCGGAAUUAUUGGGCGGUAAAGAGCUCGUUAGGCGGUUUGUCGCGUCUGCCGUGAAAACCCGAGGCUUGAACCUCGGGCUAGCGGUGGAUACGGGCAGACUUGAGUUCGGUAGGGGAGACGUGGAAUUCCUGGUGUAGCGGUGAAAUGACGCAGAUAUCAGGAGGAACACCGGUGGCGAAGGCGGGUCUCUGGGCCGAUACUGACGCUGAGGAGCGAAAGCGUGGGGAGCGAACAGG